GUGGGGAAUAUUGGACAAUGGGCGCAAGCCUGAUCCAGCCAUACCGCGUGGGUGAAGAAGGCCUUCGGGUUGUAAAGCCCUUUUGUUGGGAAAGAAAUCCUAUCGAUUAAUACUCGGUGGGGAUGACGGUACCCAAAGAAUAAGCACCGGCUAACUUCGUGCCAGCAGCCGCGGUAAUACGAAGGGUGCAAGCGUUACUCGGAAUUACUGGGCGUAAAGCGUGCGUAGGUGGUUGUUUAAGUCUGCUGUGAAAGCCCUGGGCUCAACCUGGGAAUUGCAGUGGAUACUGGGCAACUAGAGUGUGGUAGAGGGAUGCGGAAUUUCUGGUGUAGCAGUGAAAUGCGUAGAGAUCAGAAGGAACAUCCGUGGCGAAGGCGGCAUCCUGGGCCAACACUGACACUGAGGCACGAAAGCGUGGGGAGCAAACAGGAUUAGAUACCCCAGUAGUCC
RNAcentral lists this ribosomal RNA (450 nucleotides) under uncultured bacterium. Its description in RNAcentral is "partial 16S ribosomal RNA". It matches the Rfam family "Bacterial small subunit ribosomal RNA", at positions 354 to 796 of the family's 1533-position model. The record is from RNAcentral.